GUCCCUGUAGUGGAAUGGAAAAAGCGCGUUGGACUUCUAAUCCAAAGGUCGUAGGUUCAAAUCCUACCUGGGAUG
This 75-nucleotide transfer RNA is filed under the name Trichonephila inaurata madagascariensis. It matches the Rfam family "tRNA". Rfam says of the family: Transfer RNA (tRNA) molecules are approximately 80 nucleotides in length. Their secondary structure includes four short double-helical elements and three loops (D, anti-codon, and T loops). Further hydrogen bonds mediate the characteristic L-shaped molecular structure. tRNAs have two regions of fundamental functional importance: the anti-codon, which is responsible for specific mRNA codon recognition, and the 3' end, to which the tRNAs corresponding amino acid is attached (by aminoacyl-tRNA synthetases). tRNAs cope with the degeneracy of the genetic code in two manners: having more than one tRNA (with a specific anti-codon) for a particular amino acid; and 'wobble' base-pairing, i.e. permitting non-standard base-pairing at the 3rd anti-codon position. The record is from Rfam by way of RNAcentral. Lineage: Eukaryota; Metazoa; Arthropoda; Arachnida; Araneae; Nephilidae.